RNAcentral lists this long non-coding RNA (776 nucleotides) under Marmota monax (woodchuck). Lineage: Eukaryota; Metazoa; Chordata; Mammalia; Rodentia; Sciuridae. The record is from RNAcentral.
UUGUGGCAGGGUGUUGCAAUGUUGUUCAGCUGGCUUCAGAUUCCUGGUCUCAAGCAAUCCUCUGCUUCCCAAGUAGCUGGGGACACAUCACUGGACCUGGCUGACAAUUUACAUUUAUAAAGGAAUUUUUAGUAGUAAAGGAAAAUACUCCAGGAAGAGAACUACUCUGCUACAACGUUUAUCACCUGAGGUCAUCUGCAUAAUAAGGCAACAUUUACUCACCAUGCACUUUCUCCUUUUCCCCUACCAUAACGUAUCUCCACCUCCUGGAAGCUCCACACCACCAUUCCUUUCUGUUGCUCAAAAUAAUAUAUAAGCCUCAGUUAUCUGGCUGCUUCUUCAAGUCUCAUGUUUUUAUGGAACUCCUAUGCAUGCAUAUAUAAAUAGAAUUGUUUCUCUCCUGUUAAUCUGCCUUAUGUUAAUUUGUAGACUAUGCAAAGAAUAUAUAAGGGUAGGAGGAAGCAAUUUUUUCACUCCUACAUAGGAAAUACAAAAUACCUCUCUCUGGGCCCAGAUAACACAUAAAAAUGACAAGGUUUCUAUUAUGAUUAUUGUCAUUAAAAGGUAGAUCUGAGCCCGGCACUGUGGGGCUUGCCUGUAAUCCCAGUGACUUGGGAGGCUGAGACAGGAGAAUUGCAAGUUCAAGGCCAGCCUCAGCAACUUAGUGAGGCCCUAAGCAACUUAGCAAGCCCCUGUCUCAAAAUAAAAAAUAAAAAGGACUAGGGCUAUAGCUCAACAAUAAAGCCCUCUGGGUUCAAUCUCUAGUAUGUAUAAAU